GACGAACGCUGGCGGCGUGCUUAACACAUGCAAGUCGUACGGUAAGGCCCUUUCGGGGGUACACGAGUGGCGAACGGGUGAGUAACACGUGAGUAACCUGCCCACAACUUUGGGAUAACGCUAGGAAACUGGUGCUAAUACUGGAUAUGUGCUCCUGCUGCAUGGUGGGGGUUGGAAAGCUCCGGCGGUUGUGGAUGGACUCGCGGCCUAUCAGCUUGUUGGUGGGGUAGUGGCCUACCAAGGCGGCGACGGGUAGCCGGCCUGAGAGGGUGACCGGCCACAGUGGGACUGAGAUACGGCCCAGACUCCGACGGGAGGGAGCAGUGGGGAAUAUUGCACAAUGGGCGCAAGCCUGAUGCAGCAACGCCGCGUGCGGGAUGACGGCCUUCGGGUUGGAAACCGCUUUCAGCAGGGACGAAGCUUUUUGUGACGGUACCUGCAGAAGAAGCACCGGCUAACUACGUG
Molecule: ribosomal RNA, 465 nt
Filed under: uncultured bacterium
Lineage: Bacteria
Description: partial 16S ribosomal RNA
Rfam family: Bacterial small subunit ribosomal RNA
Source: RNAcentral